RNAcentral lists this ribosomal RNA (250 nucleotides) under uncultured bacterium. RNAcentral describes it as "partial 16S ribosomal RNA". It matches the Rfam family "Bacterial small subunit ribosomal RNA", at positions 524 to 773 of the family's 1533-position model. The record is from RNAcentral.
UACGUAGGUGGCAAGCGUUAUCCGGAAUCAUUGGGCGUAAAGAGUGUGUAGGCGGUUUUUUAAGUCAGUUGUAAAAUCUGUGGGCUCAACUCACAUCAUGCAUCUGAAACUGAAAAACUUGAGUCUGGAAGAGGUAAGCGGAAUUUAUGGUGUAGCGGUGAAAUGCUUAGAUAUCAUAAGGAACACCAAUGGCGAAGGCAGCUUACUGGGACAGUACUGACGCUGAGACACGAAAGCGUGGGGAGCGAAC